UUCUCCUAUGGGGGGCAGCAGUGGGGGAUAUUGCACAAUGGGGGAAACCCUGAUGCAGCGACGCCGCGUGAGUGAAGAAGUAUUUCGGUACGUAAAGCUCUAUCAGCAGGGAAGAAUAAUGACGGUACCUGAAGAAAAAGCAUCGGCUAACUCCGUGCCAGCAGCCGCGGUAAUACGGAGGAUGCGAGCGUUAUCCGGAUUUAUUGGGUUUAAAGGGUGCGUAGGCGGAAUGCCAAGUCAGCGGUAAAAUCGCGGGGCUCAACCUCGCUCCGCCGUUGAAACUGGCGUUCUUGAGUGGGCGAGAA
Molecule: ribosomal RNA, 305 nt
Filed under: uncultured bacterium
Lineage: Bacteria
Description: bacterial SSU rRNA
Rfam family: Bacterial small subunit ribosomal RNA
Source: RNAcentral